CGCCUCUUGUACAACACAAAUAAGAGGUCCCGCCUGCCCAGUGACCUUAAGUUCAACGGCCGCGGUAUUUUAACCGUGCAAAGGUAGCGAAAUCACUUGUUCUUUAAAUGAGGACCUGUAUGAACGGCAACACGAGGGCUGAACUGUCUCUUUUUUCUGGUCAAUGAAAUUGAUCUCCCCGUGCAGAAGCGGGGAUAAACCCAUAAGACGAGAAGACCCUGUGGAGCUUUAGACAAUAGAGACAGCCCUUGUCAAACCCCCUCAGCCAUGAGGUCGAACUGAUAGGACCCUUCUCUUAUGUCUUCGGUUGGGGCGACCGCGGGGACAAAAAAAACCCCCAUGUGGACUAAGAGCAUUCACACAUCUUAAACCAAAGAGCCACCGCUCAAUUUCGCAGAAAAUCUGACCUAAAGAUCCGGCAAAGCCGAUCAACGAACCAAGUUACCCCAGGGAUAACAGCGCAAUCCUCUUUAAGAGGCCCUAUCGACAAGAGGGUUUACGACCUCGAUGUUGGAUCAGGACAUCCUAAUGGUGCAGCCGCUAUUAAGGGUUCGUUUGUUCAACGAUUAAAGUCCU
This 576-nucleotide ribosomal RNA is filed under the name Pseudochromis coccinicauda (yellow-breasted dottyback). Its description in RNAcentral is "partial 16S ribosomal RNA". It matches the Rfam family "Bacterial large subunit ribosomal RNA", at positions 1817 to 2597 of the family's 2925-position model. Lineage: Eukaryota; Metazoa; Chordata; Actinopteri; Pseudochromidae. The record is from RNAcentral.